UAGAGUUUGAUCCUGGCUCAGAUUGAACGCUGGCGGCAGGCCUAACACAUGCAAGUCGAGCGGCAGCGGGAAAGUAGCUUGCUACUUUUGCCGGCGAGCGGCGGACGGGUGAGUAAUGCCUGGGGAUCUGCCCGGUCGAGGGGGAUAACUACUGGAAACGGUAGCUAAUACCGCAUACGCCCUACGGGGGAAAGCAGGGGACCUUCGGGCCUUGCGCGAUUGGAUGAACCCAGGUGGGAUUAGCUAGGUGGUGAGGUAAUGGCUCACCAAGGGCGACGAUCCCUAGUUGGUUUGGGAAGGUGAUCAGCCACUCUGGAAUUGAGACACGACCCAGACCCCUACGGGAGGCAGCAGUGGGGAAUAUGCACAAUGGGGGAAAACCCUGAUGCAGCCAUGCCGCGUUGUGAAAGAAGGCCUUCGGGUUGUAAAGCACUUUCAGCGAGGAGGAAAGGUCGGUAGCUAAUAACUGCCAGCUGUGACGUUACUCGCAGAGGAAGCACCGGCUAACUCCGUGCCAGCAGCCGCGGUAAUACGGAGGGUGCAAGCGUUAAUCGGAAUUACUGGGCGUAAAGCGCACGCAGGCGGUUGGAUAAGUUAGAUGUGAAAGCCCCGGGCUCAACCUGGGAAUUGCAUUUAAAACUGUCCAGCUAGAGUCUUGUAGAGGGGGGUAGAAUUCCAGGUGUAGCGGUGAAAUGCGUAGAGAUCUGGAGGAAUACCGGUGGCGAAGGCGGCCCCCUGGACAAAGACUGACGCUCAGGUGCGAAAGCGUGGGGAGCAAACAGGAUUCGAUACCCUGGUAGUCCACGCCGU
RNAcentral lists this ribosomal RNA (810 nucleotides) under uncultured bacterium. RNAcentral describes it as "bacterial SSU rRNA". It matches the Rfam family "Bacterial small subunit ribosomal RNA", at positions 1 to 803 of the family's 1533-position model. The record is from RNAcentral.